AGAGUUUGAUCCUGGCUCAGAGCGAACGUUAGCGGCAGGCUUAACACAUGCAAGUCGAGCGACAAAGGGGCUUCGGCCCUGAGUAGAGCGGCGGACGGGUGCGUAACACGUGGAUAAUCUGCCUCGUGGCGGGGGAUAACAGUCCGAAAGGACUGCUAAUACCGCAUGUCAGGUCGGAAACCCCGGUUUCUGACGAAAAAGAGGGCGCCCGCAAGGGGCUCUCACCACGAGAUGAGUCCGCGGCCCAUCAGCUAGUUGGCGGUGUAAUAGACCACCAAGGCUAAGACGGGUAGCUGGUCUGAGAGGAUGACCAGCCACACUGGGACUGAGACACGGCCCAGACUCCUACGGGAGGCAGCAGUGGGGAAUAUUGGACAAUGGGCGAAAGCCUGAUCCAGCCAUGCCGCGUGAGUGAUGAAGGUCUUCGGAUCGUAAAGCUCUGUGGGAAGGGACGGAAAAAAGACCUAACCUAAUACGUUAGGUCUUGACGGUACCUCUUAGCAAGCACCGGCUAACUCCGUGCCA
Molecule: ribosomal RNA, 525 nt
Filed under: uncultured bacterium
Lineage: Bacteria
Description: bacterial SSU rRNA
Rfam family: Bacterial small subunit ribosomal RNA
Source: RNAcentral